Molecule: non-coding RNA, 2443 nt
Organism: Oncorhynchus mykiss (rainbow trout)
Lineage: Eukaryota; Metazoa; Chordata; Actinopteri; Salmoniformes; Salmonidae
Source: RefSeq, a predicted model, not a curated record
GUCAUUGACGUUUGUUUUGAUGAUUGUUAUUACUGGUGGUGGCUUUUGAAUCUGUGCACAAAACAUGAUGUUCUUGUAUACAGAAAGAGGCUUAUAGGCUUAUUUCAGACAACUCCUCCGGUCUCCUGACACAGUGGAGGAGCUACAUCACAUUCUGGAACCAGAGCAUCUAAAGGCUCCAAGCAGCUCACCUGGGAUGCAGUCCUCAGGCAGGAGAGACACAUGCCGGUGGUGGAGCACUUGGUCUGCUGCCAUGAACCCUGUAUGAGGGUGUGUUGGCUGGGUGAGGAGCUCCUGCCCUCUGUGUUCUAUGUAUUGAGACAGAUGAGGCCCAGCAGCACUCUCAAAGAGGAGAUAGUAGAGUUAUUCAACCUGCAGCUCUGUGUACAUCAUCUCAAGGGUCAAAGACACAAGACACAGGAGCCUAUGCUGAGGACUGGGCCAAAUGGCAGAGUCUACUCUAUAACCUCUAUGAUGCCCUGGUGACUGAGAUCAGCCAGAUUGGGAGCCGGGAGAAAUAUGCCACAGGGUUGCGCCACAUUGCUGUGAAGGAGAAGCUUAUUGAGCUAACUGGAGACAUCAGAUGAUAAAUCUAAGAUCCUUAAUUUUCACAUCUUGACUUCAUUUACCAUUUCCAGGCUAAAACCUGAGCUGUGCUGACAUAGUUCACCUGUCUUUAAGAUGGUUUUGGUAUUGUUGGUCUCAUCUUCAUGUUUUGGGUGUUUGACUGUUUCUUAGCUCUAUAGCGAAGAUUGUAACCUUCAGAUUCUGGAUGUGACUCAGGCCCACCUCAGAGCCACCCAGAGAGGAAGUCCCCAGGGCACGCCCAGCAAGUGCAGACACAUCGAGCUGGGCUGGGAGGUUCUCCGAGACCACCUGCAGCCACACCAUCAUACCAUGUGUUGCUGAUCUGUGUUUGGCCCAGGCCCUUCUCAAGUGUCCUGUUCCUAAGCUUGGGCACUGGGUGGGACCAUGCAGGGCCGUGGAGGGGGUCGGGCCCCCCAGCAUCAAGGAGAACAUCAUGAGCUGGCUGCUGAUGAACGAACAGAGUGAAGAGGCAGAGGAGAGAUCAAGAUCACACCCCAUCAUCUGCAGUGGGCAGUUUAUCACUGGGCUCAUAUCUCAUUUUUAUUCACGCUUAACCGCUCUGCUAGUGUUGUCUAAUUGGGAUUAUUUUGCCUUGAUACAAUGUUUUAUGUCUGUAAUUGUUUUAACACAUCCCUAAUACAAGUUUGUGUCUUAUUCCUCUUUGCCCAGGGAUUUUCCUCACAACCUAAUCCGCAGAAUCCUUGUGCCUUUGACCCUCAAAGACACCCGAGCUGGCAUUAUGUUUCUCUUCGGAGCAAAGGAACUUGAGAGGCUGUUCUUGGCGAUGACACCGGACAGCUUGGAGAAGAGAAAGAUGCUUCCUCUGAAAUGCCAGCAGACAGCCUUUGAGAACAUCUACCUGAAAGCCUAAGAAGGGAUAAGGCUCCAGAAGAGCAGCUCUCCUGAAUACCUGAAUGACGAGACAUUUAACCGCAAGGCCACGCUGCUGAAGAAUGUGUCGGUGGUGCUGUGCUGCUGCCCCGUCUGUGAGAAACAGUCCCUCUUCGCCCUCUUCCAGUCCAUCAAGGAGAACAACAUAGAGGAGCCGCUCAUCAAAGAGCUACGGGCAAAUCAUUUGGCUACACAUCCUGGGCAGUGAGUCCAGAGUUCUGGGCUACAGAAGUGUGGAGGGGUUUGUUAGUUCUCACCUGGAUUACCUGGUGGCAGAGGGGCUGGGCUAGCCUGGCUAUACCCUGGAGUCCUUCCCCUACACUCUGCUCAAUCACCCCACUCUCUUCUACAGCAAAUCUACUGCCUGAUUCACAGUAACCUGGCGGACAUUGUGGUGGAGCUGUUGAUGACCCUGUAUGAUGGGGCUGCUACUGAGGAGGGCAGAGGGGACCUGAGGAGGGAACUGGACCCAGCCCCAAUCCCACCCUCUUUCAGCUCCAAUGUUAUCAAAGCCACACUGGACUACCUCAGCAAAUGUCACAGUGCCAGUCACCAGUCGUCCCUGGUGGCCAUUUUAUCCAGGACACUGAUCUCCAUCCAGAGGAUCCUGCUGGCGGUGUGUCAGAAGGCAGCUGAGACGAUCAAUGCCUACGAGAGGAUCCCAGGGCAGUGAUUGGGGACAUUAGCCUGUGUAGUGUGCUGGUUUUCCUGACUCUCUGUGGUCACUAAAAGAUCCCAUGGAAUGUAAGAGUAGGGGUGUUAACCCUGGUGUCCUGGCUAAAUUCCCAAUCUGGUUCUCAUACCCUCAUGGCCACCUAAUCAUCCCCUGCUUCCAAUUGGCUCAUUCAUCCCCACUCCUUUCCCAUUUAACUAUUCCCCAGGUCGUUGCUGUAAAUGAUGUGUUCUCAGUCAACUUAUCUGGUAAAAUAAGGGUUAAAUCAAAUAAAACACACUUUCCAAAUGA